Molecule: small RNA, 981 nt
Filed under: Arabidopsis thaliana (thale cress)
Lineage: Eukaryota; Viridiplantae; Streptophyta; Magnoliopsida; Brassicales; Brassicaceae
Description: ATSL177480
Source: RNAcentral
UUAUUUUGUGGAAUUAAUCUUUAGUUUUUGAAAAUUAAGAAUAAAAUUGCAAAAAAUAGAGAUCUGGUACCCUAAUAUAUAGUCAAAGGUCCUCCAAUGAAAAUAAAAAAGAGGUGAUCAAAAAUUAUUUUCUGUAGUUUUAUUAAAUAUAUACAAAAAUUAAGGCAUAACUCAACUACUAACUGUCAAAACAUUUGUUUUUCAAAAACAUUGAUGAACAUCAUUUUUAAUCGUAAACUAGUCGUUAACGGCUACGUUACGACUAUAUUUACGACUAUUUGAUUUCCUGACUCUCAAUUUACGAUUAUACUGUUUAAUCGUAAUGUGGUGGUAAACAACCAUUUAACGACUAUAUAACGAUUACUUUUGUAGGCGGAAACACUCUGUUUUCUUGUUGUGCUUUUUAUGUACAAGUUUGUAAAACAACUCACAAAAAGGUGAUACUAAGCAUGAAGAAGCCGUCUCGUAUGAGACACAUUAGCAUUGGCAUUAUCAGAUAAAAUGCCAAUCCUCGUCAGAGUCUCAAAUUUUGUGUAACUUGUCUCUUCUCCAUGUCCACUUCCGCCUACAGAUAUGAGAUAUGAAUCUUAUAAAAGCCUCACAUGCAAAAAGUAACUAAGGAAAAGGGAGAGAUAAAACAACAUUGAAUGAAUGAUUGUAACUAUAGUACCGGUUCUGUGGCUUCCCUGAUUGGUGGAGUGUCUUCACUAGGCACGUGUAUUAGUUGUGAAAGUUGUCGUAGUAACCCAUUCCUGUAAUUGAAGGCACAAAUAAGUUUUUUUUUUUUUGAAGGUACAAGUAAGGUACUCCAUAAUCAGAUAAGAGAAUGACGAGGAACACCAAAGAGGUUUAGAAAGAAAAAGUUACCUUUAUAAUCUCAAUAACUCUUGGUGUAUUAAAAUCCAGCAGAAAGUUUGGCUUAUAAUGGAACUCAUUGACUUUGAGUUCGUCUUCAAAUUGUUAUCCAGACUCACUUUUAGC